UCCUGGCUCAGGAUGAACGCUAGCUACAGGCUUAACACAUGCAAGUCGAGGGGCAGCAUAUAGAUAGCUUGCUAUUUAUGAUGGCGACCGGCGCACGGGUGAGUAACGCGUAUCCAACCUGGCCCAUAGUAGGGAACAGCCCGGCGAAAGUCGGAUUAAUGCCCUAUGUUGUUUGAAGCGGGCAUCUAAUUCAAACCAAAGAUUUAUCGCUAUGGGAUGGGGAUGCGUCUGAUUAGGUUGUUGGUGGGGUAACGGCCCACCAAGCCAUCGAUCAGUAGGGGUUCUGAGAGGAAGGUCCCCCACACUGGUACUGAGACACGGACCAGACUCCUACGGGAGGCAGCAGUGAGGAAUAUUGGUCAAUGGGCGCGAGCCUGAACCAGCCAAGUAGCGUGCAGGAAGACGGCCCUACGGGUUGUAAACUGCUUUUAUGCGGGGAUAAAGUGUGGGACGCGUCCCUCAUUGCAGGUACCGCAUGAAUAAGGACCGGCUAAUUCCGUGCC
RNAcentral lists this ribosomal RNA (503 nucleotides) under uncultured organism. Its description in RNAcentral is "SSU rRNA". It matches the Rfam family "Bacterial small subunit ribosomal RNA", at positions 17 to 509 of the family's 1533-position model. The record is from RNAcentral.